AUUGAAGCUCUGUACGAGCACAUGUAUGUUUUCUAUUGUUGCUCCAAUUUAGUGAAGUGAAAAAUAGCUUCUGACCUUUGUUUAUGUUUUUGAAUUUACCAGUAUAUCCGAGAUAUGGGAAUUUCUCAAUAGUUUAUAGUCAUGAAGUAAAAAGAUUAUUAAAAUAAAUUUCCACUCAGUAUCUUAUAAAGUCAUUUGCUCAUGGAUGUCCAUAAUGUAUUGUUACUGCGAAAGUUACGUUUGGUUUUGACGGACAGUUAAAAAAACUGGUGAGAUGGCCGGCGUGGC
Molecule: long non-coding RNA, 288 nt
Filed under: Erythranthe guttata (spotted monkey flower)
Lineage: Eukaryota; Viridiplantae; Streptophyta; Magnoliopsida; Lamiales; Phrymaceae
Description: long non-coding RNA (EGUT_LNC003283)
Source: RNAcentral